AUCUAUCUGAUGAGUCGCAAAUAGAGCAAAACGCGCGUUCUAGAU
Molecule: non-coding RNA, 45 nt
Organism: Schistosoma margrebowiei
Lineage: Eukaryota; Metazoa; Platyhelminthes; Trematoda; Strigeidida; Schistosomatidae
Source: Rfam